RNAcentral lists this ribosomal RNA (462 nucleotides) under Mycobacterium arupense. RNAcentral describes it as "Mycolicibacter arupensis bacterial SSU rRNA". It matches the Rfam family "Bacterial small subunit ribosomal RNA", at positions 212 to 673 of the family's 1533-position model. Lineage: Bacteria; Bacillati; Actinomycetota; Actinomycetes; Mycobacteriales; Mycobacteriaceae. The record is from RNAcentral.
GUGGCCGCGGGAAUUCGAUUCGCGGCCUAUCAGCUUGUUGGUGGGGUAAUGGCCUACCAAGGCGACGACGGGUAGCCGGCCUGAGAGGGUGUCCGGCCACACUGGGACUGAGAUACGGCCCAGACUCCUACGGGAGGCAGCAGUGGGGAAUAUUGCACAAUGGGCGCAAGCCUGAUGCAGCGACGCCGCGUGGGGGAUGACGGCCUUCGGGUUGUAAACCUCUUUCAGUAUCGGCGAAUCUCCAGGAUUUUUCUUGGGGUGACGGUAGGUACAGAAGAAGCACCGGCCAACUACGUGCCAGCAGCCGCGGUAAUACCUAGGGUGCGAGCGUUGUCCGGAAUUGCUGGGCGUAAAGAGCUCGUAGGUGGUUUGUCCGUUGUCCGUGAAAACUCACAGCUUAACUGUGGGCUUGCGGGCGAUACUGGCAGACUGGUGUACUGCAGGGGAGACUGGAAUUCUUGG